GGACUAUACUAACGGUUAGUUUUCUGUACUACUUUAAUAGCUAAUUUUUUUAUUUCAACAGCUAUUCUAACUCCUCCAAUGAUCAAAACUCAUUCUCCAAUCUUUUUCAAGUCUAUUACAAGCUAAAGAAUUAAUUAGAAAGCAAGAGAAAGGGAUUAAAAAAGGAAAACAUAUCAUUUAUAUGAGGGAUUAUUGAAUAUCCUUGAGAAAGAAAAAAAAAAGAGGGAUUGUGUGCAAAGU
This 240-nucleotide long non-coding RNA is filed under the name Elaeis guineensis (African oil palm). Its description in RNAcentral is "long non-coding RNA (EGUI_LNC008237)". Lineage: Eukaryota; Viridiplantae; Streptophyta; Magnoliopsida; Arecales; Arecaceae. The record is from RNAcentral.